This 70-nucleotide transfer RNA is filed under the name Alphaproteobacteria bacterium MarineAlpha9_Bin3. RNAcentral describes it as "tRNA-Met". It matches the Rfam family "tRNA". From Rfam's summary of the family: Transfer RNA (tRNA) molecules are approximately 80 nucleotides in length. Lineage: Bacteria; Pseudomonadati; Pseudomonadota; Alphaproteobacteria. The record is from RNAcentral.
GGCGAAGUAGCUCAGUUGGUUAGAGCAGCGGAAUCAUAAUCCGAAGGUCGUAGGUUCAAAUCCUACCUUC